GCUUACCGUGGCAGUGACGGUUAACGGGGGAUUAGGGUUCGAUUCCGGAGAGGGAGCCUGUAGAAACGGCUACCACAUCUAAGGAAGGCAGCAGGCGCGCAAAUUACCCAAUUCUAACAGCAUAAGAGAGGUAGUGACAAGAAAUAACAAUACAAGGUAAUUAAAUUGCUUUGUAAUUGGAAUGAUAGAAAUUUAAACACUUUUUAAAGUAUCAAUUGGAGGGCAAGUCUGGUGCCAGCAGCCGCGGUAAUUCCAGCUCCAAUAGCGUAUAUUAAAAUUGUUGCAGUUAAAAAGCUCGUAGUUGAAUUUCUGUUAAAAAUAACCGGUCUGCUUUUAUUAAAAGUGGUAUCUUGGUGUGUUUUUAGCAAUAAUGUCCUUUGAAAUGUUUUUUACUUUAUUGUAAUAAGUCAUUAUUUUGAGGAUUUUUACUUUGAGAAAAUUAGAGUGUUUCUAGCAGGCUUACGCUUUUGAAUACUGCAUCAUGGAAUAAUAAGAUAGGAUUUUAGUUCUACAUUAUUGGUUUUAAGAACUAAAUUAAUGAUUGAUAGGGAUAGUUGGGGGCAUU
RNAcentral lists this ribosomal RNA (565 nucleotides) under Hepatozoon sp. KCMS-2016a. RNAcentral's name for it is "bacterial SSU rRNA". It matches the Rfam family "Eukaryotic small subunit ribosomal RNA", at positions 339 to 892 of the family's 1831-position model. Lineage: Eukaryota; Apicomplexa; Hepatozoidae. The record is from RNAcentral.